CUGUAUAUCAUCACUGCCACCGCUUUCCAAAUAUUAGUGAACAACAACUCCCCCUUCAAGCCUAUUACCGAUACCACCAUCAUUACUUCAGAGGGAGUACUUCCUGGAGCUGGAGAAGACCCACCCACUAUUGUAAUUAUGGUCCAUUAUGACUCAUUUGGUCUUGCUCCUUGGCUGGCGUAUGGUGCAGACUCUAAUGGCAGUGGCAUCACCGUUCUCCUCGAGCUGGUUCGACUCUUUCAUCACCUCUACAGCGACUCACGAAGCCAGGCUCCAUUAGUUCUUUCUGUAUUUAAUAAACUAAAAUGUUUGUGUUGGGAAAAUAAUUGAAAAACUGGCAACACGAACCCAAUAGCUUGUAUUAACUGAUACAUAUUCAUCAUAAGAAUUUACUUUUGGAUUCUUUUUCUUUUUGCAUUAUUUUUCAUCAACAUCUUUUAGAUACCACCUUUUAUUCUCCCUGACUGGUGGUGGUAAAUAUAACUUCCUGGGCACCAAGCGUUGGCUGGAGGAAAAUAUGGACCAGGCAGAAUCCAGCCUUUUGCAUGACAACGUGGCGUUCGUUCUAUGUCUGGACUCUCUUGGCACUGGAGACGAGAUUUUCCUGCAUGUCUUGCAACCGCUUAAGCCUGGAACGCCUCAGUACAGCUUCAUUCAGCAGCU
Molecule: long non-coding RNA, 663 nt
Organism: Sinocyclocheilus anshuiensis
Lineage: Eukaryota; Metazoa; Chordata; Actinopteri; Cypriniformes; Cyprinidae
Exons: 4
Source: RefSeq, a predicted model, not a curated record